RNAcentral lists this long non-coding RNA (728 nucleotides) under Medicago truncatula (barrel medic). RNAcentral describes it as "lncRNA gene26884". The record is from RNAcentral. Lineage: Eukaryota; Viridiplantae; Streptophyta; Magnoliopsida; Fabales; Fabaceae.
UUUAAAUUUAGUUAAGACUCGGGUUAGACAGACCAAAGAUGCAGGUUUGAAAAAGUUUUAUCACAGAAAUGGUUAACAUACACAAAAGAUGUUAAAAAAGAAAUAUGUCACUAGGAAACAAAAUUGCAUCAAAACAAUAUCCCCAAAGUAUGUAAAACUCAAGAAUUAAGAUAGCUUUGACAGUUGACCCUAUAUUGAAGUGUUGUAACAUAUGAUUAAUCAAUGACAAUAUUAGCAGAAAACUGCAAAAAGAUUACUCAGAACAGUCAUAUACAAUUGUUAAUCAGCUUCAAUCUGUAUUCUGGUUCGGAGUAUGAGUGAAGUUGAACUGAAACUUCAGGAGGUUAUAACUAUAUUGUCUUUUCUUUUUCUUUCAACCAAUCAACAAAAUUGUCGACAAUCACUGGCCAGGCUUGACUGGAAUCAUAACUUUGAAGGUCAGUAAAGCUUACCUGGCAGCAACAAAAUGUUAACAUCUUUUGUGAGUGCGAUUUCUUUAAACGAAGAAACAUUAACAGCAUCAAUAAACCAUGUUAAUGAAGUGCACAACUUAUGCAAAAUAUACUACACAUUGUAGACAAUUAGACAUGUUUCAUAACAGCAGAGAUCAUAUAUGCAGAUAAGAGUGUGCAUGAGUUAUCUUUGUAGUUUCUCUUAAAUGGACUAAAUCAUUCUACAUUUAUUCGAGCUCAAAUCAUUAAUGCUCAAUCAAGUUUUUUCAAUUUAUC